AGGAUGUUGGGAUCUUUUUCUUUGACUCAGCCCAUGAGGGAAGCGUGUGCUUGCCUAACACUGAGAUACAGGAUGUUUAAAUCUCAGAUUUUGUUUUGGGCCUACUGGAAGCCUUUGAUUUGAUUGUGGUAAAUAUUUCCAAGUUUUUGAAACAGUAAGUUUACUGAAUUACAGCAGACUGCAUGCCAUAGUUCUUACAGUCUAAUGGUAGACAUUACAAUAGAUGCUUUGGAUGAAAUAAGGUGACUCCUUUCCUACUGGGGGAAUAGAAAGCAGAAUGACUAGCCUAUGCAAGGGUGCUUAGCCAAAUAACUGACUGGUGACUUUCAUCUGUCUUUGUAGCCUGAGUAUGACAGUCUCCCAUCCUUGUAAGAGUCUGAAGGCUAUUWUUCUAAGCAUAACCAGGUGCUGGUGACUUUCCUGGCCUAUGUGGGGCUUCAGAGGAGAAGACAUUUCAGAGCCAGAAAAAAAAGGAGGAGAAUCCAGCUGCAUCGGUUUGUGCAUCGGUUUGGACAGAGAGGUAGAGAAACACAUUUUUGCAUUUUAUAUAUUGUGCCAUAUGUUCAUGCAUGUACCUCUUUUCAGGAUACUUGCAUAAAUCUGGUUUUCCU
Molecule: long non-coding RNA, 611 nt
Filed under: Dromaius novaehollandiae (emu)
Lineage: Eukaryota; Metazoa; Chordata; Aves; Casuariiformes; Dromaiidae
Description: lncRNA (ENSDNVG00000015795.1)
Source: RNAcentral